RNAcentral lists this transfer RNA (69 nucleotides) under Apogon townsendi (belted cardinalfish). Its description in RNAcentral is "tRNA-Met". RNAcentral also lists the same sequence under 3 other names. The record is from RNAcentral. Lineage: Eukaryota; Metazoa; Chordata; Actinopteri; Kurtiformes; Apogonidae.
AGUAGGGUCAGCUAAUUAAGCUUUUGGGCCCAUACCCCAAGAAUGUUGGUUAAACCCCUUCCCCUACUA